UAGGGAAUCUUCCACAAUGGACGAAAGUCUGAUGGAGCAACGCCGCGUGAGUGAAGAAGGUUUUCGGAUCGUAAAGCUCUGUUGUUGGUGGAGAAGGAUAGAGGCAGUAACUGGUCUUUAUUUGACGGUAAUCAACCAGAAAGUCACGGCUAACUACGUGCCGG
Molecule: ribosomal RNA, 164 nt
Filed under: uncultured bacterium
Lineage: Bacteria
Description: partial 16S rRNA
Rfam family: Bacterial small subunit ribosomal RNA
Source: RNAcentral